CAAGAGCAGUGAUGCUGACAAUUCCAAUUUGCCAAAGAGAUGCCAUAAGUGCUUCCUUUGGGUGAAAAGGCGAUUGAUUUCCCGAUGCCGGGUUUGACCACGAAGACUCCUUUGGUGACUUGAUGAUGGUCUGCUACGAGGGAACUGGUCGGCUUUGUUUGGAAAAGGGGAAGGUGACAAGCAGCUCCCACCUGCCUGUGGGAGAACGUGGGACAGCUCAUUACAGAGGGGCUCUGAUGGCCCGAGGGCUGCCUCCCAGCUGUGAACCUUGUGAGGAGCAGGCCUGUGUCUG
Myotis brandtii (Brandt's bat) is the source of this 292-nucleotide long non-coding RNA. RefSeq lists it as uncharacterized. NCBI's taxonomy places the organism in Eukaryota, Metazoa, Chordata, Mammalia, Chiroptera, Vespertilionidae. The transcript has 3 exons. The record is from RefSeq and is a predicted model, not a curated record.